GUUGAGGUCAAUCUCGAUGGGACUUUUUCUGUAGACCCAUGUCAUUGGAGACGCCUCAGAGUCACCAUGUGGUUUACUUUGCUCACAGCAUGAUUUGCUGGAUCUGUGAGAGAGAACGACAAGGUACAA
Small nucleolar RNA from Echinops telfairi (small Madagascar hedgehog), 129 nucleotides. NCBI's taxonomy places the organism in Eukaryota, Metazoa, Chordata, Mammalia, Afrosoricida, Tenrecidae. The record is from Ensembl.